RNAcentral lists this long non-coding RNA (1377 nucleotides) under Anser cygnoides (Swan goose). RNAcentral's name for it is "lncRNA (ENSACDG00005001693.1)". The record is from RNAcentral. Lineage: Eukaryota; Metazoa; Chordata; Aves; Anseriformes; Anatidae.
AUGGGGAGGAUCUGCCCCCAAAUCCCCUCCCCAGGGCUGGGUGCUCCAGUCCCAUGCAGGCUUUCGGAGCAAUGCGGGUGUCCCUUUGGCAAAGGGGGAUUUGUGCCCUGCCUGGGGACCCCCUGUGGCCGUGGAUGGGACCCUAAUGGCUGCGUGUCCCGUGCUGAGCCCGGCUUCACCCAGCGCCAUCCCCGCGGGAGGUGCAGGAGAGCUCGUGAUGAGGCUGCGCGGCUAAUCCAUCCCCGAGUGCAACACAAGGGCUGCUGGUGCUUGAGGACAAGGAAGCUUAGCGAAAUUAGGGCCAUUUCCGUUAUCCUCCUGCCCAGCUCCCGUUGCAGUUGCACUACAGGAUCCUGCCCCCAGCAGGGCUGCCCCACACCCUGGGUGCCCACCCCAAACCCUCUCGCCCUUGGCCCUGGCUGCUCUUGCCUCUGCUGGCCGCGUUUUAGGGCUCGGUGCCUCACCGGUGGAGCUGAGCAGCUGCGUCCCCCUGCCCCGAGGUGCCAACGCUCUGCUCUCCUAAUCCUCCUCCUCCUCCUCACCCGGGAGUGCUGCCAGUGCCCGCUCGCGGCGUGCUCCCCCGGGCUUUGUCCCGAGCUAUCGGCGUGGAGCAACCCCGCGGCUCUGCCAAGGGCAGCGAAUCCCAAACCCGGGCAAAGGCAGGAACAAGAAGCAUCACUGCUUCCUCCGUGCUCCGCCACCUCGUGCCUUUUGGACAGGGACCCCCCCCCAGGGCUGGGUGCUGCAAUCCCACCUGCUCUGGGGGGGCUGCGAGCAUUGCCACGGGCACCCGUGGCCGCAGCCGGGGCAGGAUGCAGGCACCGCUGGCUCCUUCUGGCUGCUGGCACGUCCCCCUGUUGCCUUCUGUCCCCCGUGGGCCCAGCUGGGCGUUGGCGAGCCGUGACAGCCAGCCUUGGCCCCGCAGGAAGGCGUUGUGCAAGAGGAGCGGGGUUAUCGCGGCAGCGGGGCUGUCACCCAGGCUGGGCUGAUCCGGUGCCCGUCGUAAAUGUGUCACCCGCGCGGGCUGCGGCUCCCCGCGACCGUCCUUGGUGCUGGCCCCAAGGACUGAGGCUGGCGAAGGGACCUGCGCAGCACCGCGUGCAGGGUGCUGGGCGCAGAGCGGCGUGGGGUGAAUCUGUUGGGGGAAACUCCUGCCGUGCACGCACACGUCCCUGGGGUGUUACGGGUACCAGAGGAGAACAGGUGGCAUCAACAAGUAAUAAAAUCCCUAGUGGGGAAUGUUGUGGGGAGUUGAGCACGGCUCGGCUGUUGGGGAAUCCCUACCCGAGAUCAGGAGGUAACAAUCAAGACGGUAUCAGCAACCACAGACAACUUUUAUGUAUUCAAUAUAAACGUGGCUUGAGCCUCUCUGUGUAA